Molecule: ribosomal RNA, 1359 nt
Filed under: Mythimna separata (northern armyworm)
Lineage: Eukaryota; Metazoa; Arthropoda; Insecta; Lepidoptera; Noctuidae
Description: 16S ribosomal RNA
Rfam family: Eukaryotic large subunit ribosomal RNA (bases 1071-1230)
Source: RNAcentral
GGGGAAAAAUUAAUAAAUUAAAUAUAAUAAAAAAAUUUUUAAAUAAAUAAUAUUUUAAGGGGGUUAAAGUAUUUUUAUUGAAAAAAUUAAAUAAUUUAUAGUAAAUUAGUAUUGUGAAAGAAUUUUGAAAUAGAUGAAAUAUAAAAUUGAGUGUAAGUAAUUUUAAUUUAAUGUAUCUUGUGUAUCAGAGUUUAUUAAAAAAUAUUUUUAAGAAAAAAAUUCUCGAAUUUAAAAGAGAUAAUUAAUUAAUAAAGUUAUUGUAGCAUAAAUAUUUAAAAUAAUUAAUUUGAAAUGAGAUGUUAAUCGUUUUUAAAUAUAUCUAGUUUUUUUAGAAAAAAAUUUAAUUUUUUAUUAUUUUUAUAAAUAAAUUAAUUAAUUAAUUUAUUUAAUAUGAUAAUUUUAUAUUUUAAGGGAUAAGCUUUAAUUUAAAUUUAUAUAAAUAUUUAAUUAAAUAAUUAAGAUUUUUAUAAUUUAUAUUGUUAAAAAAUUUUAAUUUAUUAUAAAUAAUUUUAUUUAAAAUAAGAUUUAAAAAGAUUUUAUAUUUUUAUAAAAAAAAAAUUUUUAAUUUUAUAAAAUUUGAUAUAAUGAUAAAAUUAGUAUAUAAUUUUGUAAAAUAAUUAUUUUUAUUUAAGGUAAUUAAAAGGAAUUCGGCAAAAAUUUAUAUUCACUUGUUUAUCAAAAACAUGUCUUUUUGAAAUUAAUAUAAAGUCUAAUCUGCCCACUGAUAAAAAUUAAAGGGCUGCAGUAAUUUGACUGUACAAAGGUAGCAUAAUCAUUAGUCAUUUAAUUGAUGACUUGUAUGAAAGAUUGGAUGAGAUAUAAGCUGUCUCUUAAUUAAAUUUAGAAUUUAAUUUUUUAAUUAAAAAGUUAAAAUAUAAUAAAAAGACGAGAAGACCCUAUAGAGUUUUAUAAUUUAUUUAAUUAAGAUUAUUUAAAUAAAAAAAAAUUAAAAUUAAUUUAAUUAUUUUGUUGGGGUGACAGAAAAAUGAAUAUAACUUUUUUUAAAAAAAAACAUAUAUAAGUGAUUUUUUGAUCCAGUAAUAUUGAUUAUAAGAAAAAAUUACCUUAGGGAUAACAGCGUAAUUUUUUUUUUUAGUUCAUAUAAAAAAAAGAGUUUGCGACCUCGAUGUUGGAUUAAGAUAAAAUUUAAAUGCAGAAGUUUAAAAUUUUUGAUCUGUUCGAUCAUUAAAAUCUUACAUGAUCUGAGUUCAAACCGGUGUAAGCCAGGUUGGUUUCUAUCUUUUAUAAAAUAAAAUAUUUUAGUACGAAAGGAUUAAAUAUUUAAAUUAAAUUUAUAUUAAAGAAUUUUAUUAAUUUUAUUUUAAAAUGUUAAAAUAAUAUAUAUAUAUAUAUAUAUAU